This 900-nucleotide ribosomal RNA is filed under the name Leptodontidium quercuum. Its description in RNAcentral is "SSU rRNA". It matches the Rfam family "Eukaryotic small subunit ribosomal RNA", at positions 38 to 618 of the family's 1831-position model. The record is from RNAcentral. Lineage: Eukaryota; Fungi; Ascomycota; Leotiomycetes; Helotiales; Leptodontidiaceae.
CAAAGAUUAACCAUGCAUGNCUAAGAAUAACCAACUAUACUGUGAAAACUGCGAAUGGCUCAUUAAAUCAGUUAUCGUUUAUUUGAUAGUACCUUACUACAUGGAUAACCGUGGUAAUUCUAGAGCUAAUACAUGCUAAAAAACCGUCGACUUCGGAAGGGGUGUAUUUAUUAGAUAAAAAACCAAUGCCCUUCGGGGCUCCCUGGUGAUUCAUAAUAACUUAACGAAUCGCAUGGCCUUGCGCCGGCGAUGGUUCAUUCAAAUUUUCUGCCCUAUCAACUUUCGAUGGUAGGAUAGUGGCCUACCAUGGUUUCAACGGGUAACGGGGAAUUAGGGUUCUAUUCCGGAGAGGGAGCCUGAGAAACGGCUACCACAUCCAAGGAAGGCAGCAGGCGCGCAAAUUACCCAAUCCCGACACGGGGAGGUAGUGACAAUAAAUACUGAUACAGGGCUCUUUCGAGCCUUGUAAUUGGAAUGAGUACAAUUUAAAUCCCUUAACGAGGAACAAUGGAGGGCAAGUUUGGUGAGAAUUAGUAUCGCGGACGCNAGAAAUAAUUUGAAAUUNGUCGAUCUGCACACGUAANUUGGGCGUGNAGCGNCAAGACAACCUGGAUNGGGGAAGGCUAAGGGCUUCAAGCCUAUGCUAAUCCCGAGCCGAGCUGCCACGGGGUGACCCGUGGCCAGCCGGUGUAGAGCGCGGAAAGGUGUCGGUCACUCUAAGGAANNNCAGGUGGNNNAAGGGACGUGCCAGUCUCACGCGAAAGCGUGCUUUGUAGCGUGAGCCCCCAAGGGUGAGCGUUANGAGGGUGUANUCCUGAUUGCAGAGGUNANNGUAGCAUCAUAUUCGGCCAGCAGCCGCGGUAAUUCCAGCUCCAAUAGCGUAUAUUAAAGUUGUUGCAG